AACGCUGGCGGCAGGCUUAACACAUGCAAGUCGAACGACACAGUGGCAGACGGGUGAGUAACGCGUGGGAACGUGCCCUUCACUACGGAAUAGCUCCGGGAAACUGGUGGUAAUACCGUAUACGCCCUUCGGGGGAAAGAUUUAUCGGUGAAGGAUCGGCCCGCGUUAGAUUAGCUAGUUGGUGGGGUAAUGGCCUACCAAGGCGACGAUUUAUAGCUGGUCUGAGAGGAUGAUCAGCCACACUGGGACUGAGACACGGCCCAGACUCCUACGGGAGGCAGCAGUGGGGAAUCUUGCACAAUGGGCGAAAGCUGAUGCAGCCAUGCCGCGUGAAUGAUGAAGGCCUUAGGGUUGUAAAAUUCUUUCACCAGGGACGAUAAUGACGGUACCUGGAGAAGAAGCCCCGGCUAACUUCGUGCCAGCAGCCGCGGUAAUACGAAGGGGGCUAGCGUUGUUCGGAAUUACUGGGCGUAAAGCGCGCGUAGGCGGGUUAUUAAGUCAGGUGUGAAAUCCCGGGGCUCAACCUCGGAACUGCACUUKAAACUKGUAACCUAGAGUCCGGGAGAAGUCAGUGGAAUACCGAGUGUAGAGGUGAAAUUCSUAGAUAUUCSGUGGAACACCAGUGGCGAARGCGACUGACUKGACCSGUACUCACGCUGARGUGCGAAACGUGGGGAGCAAACAAGAUUAGAUACCCCGCUAGUCCACGCCSUAAACSAUGACAGCUAGUUGUCGGCAMGCAUUCCUUUCGGUGACGCAGCUAACGCAUUAAGCUGUCCSCCUGGGGAGUACCGCCCCAAVGUUAAAACUCAAARAAAUUCACCG
RNAcentral lists this ribosomal RNA (825 nucleotides) under uncultured Pseudomonadota bacterium. RNAcentral describes it as "bacterial SSU rRNA". It matches the Rfam family "Bacterial small subunit ribosomal RNA", at positions 32 to 916 of the family's 1533-position model. Lineage: Bacteria; Pseudomonadati; Pseudomonadota. The record is from RNAcentral.